This 336-nucleotide unclassified non-coding RNA is filed under the name Hevea brasiliensis (rubber tree). The record is from RNAcentral. Lineage: Eukaryota; Viridiplantae; Streptophyta; Magnoliopsida; Malpighiales; Euphorbiaceae.
GUGCAGUAAUUCUAGUUAUCUCACAGAUACAGGUGGCAACAAGAAGCUUAACCUCCCUAUCUUGAUGCUUUAGGAGUUCUGGUUUAACUAUAGCAGAUUGUAAGGGCUGCAUGGCUUCCAACAUAGCUUUUGGCGGCGACUGCUCCAACUCAGAAAGAAAUGUUGAACCUUGCUUUAAGAGUUUGAUAAGUGAGUCUUUACUAGUAGGAGGGUUUUCAAGCUUGGAUCCGAGCUCCUUGAGCUGAAGUUGGAGCUUCGAAGCCAUAGUCUCUGUUGUUUUCUGUUCCAACAGAGAGUUUUAGGACAUUUAGCUCCGGAGGUGUAGGUAGGCUUUUU